This 837-nucleotide long non-coding RNA is filed under the name Monodelphis domestica (gray short-tailed opossum). RNAcentral describes it as "lncRNA (ENSMODG00000046765.1)". Lineage: Eukaryota; Metazoa; Chordata; Mammalia; Didelphimorphia; Didelphidae. The record is from RNAcentral.
AACUAGAGCCUAGGUAUUUUGCCUUUCAUCCACUGAGACUUGGGAAAGGGUUUUGCUACUACCACCGUUCCCUGCUCCCCUUUAUUUUCUUCUACUAAAGUAGAAGAAAAAUACCCCAAGUUCAGGUUUCCCUUGGCUAAUUGCUCAGGAAAGUACAGGCCACCCCUUCACACCCUGGCAAGUGGACAGUUAUUUGCAAGUGAGGGCUGGGGCCAUUUCCUGGUUCUUGGGUGGCAGAGGUGUUUGCUACAGAAUUUAAAGGCUGUAAUAACUAUUGAACACCCUAUUAUCUGGCUGCCUAAUUAAUGUAAAUGAUAGUUAUGCCACGCUCACCGAGGAUUAUGUUACUCAGAGGAAAAUCUGCUAACAGCCACAAGACCGUUCUAGUCGCUUUUAUGGAAGCAGGCACAUUAUGGCUUCAUGGAGUAAAAGAGAUCAGGCACUGUGAGCUAUUUUGCCCUGGAGCUACAUCUUCAUCACAGUGGCACAGACUUAAAAGGGCUCAGCACUAUGGACUUCUGGACCUCACUGCAAGCUUGUUCCAGGGCCUGGGACUUUAAAGGGGCCAAGUCCAGCUCUUCUGAGCAGGAGGAUGAUGCAAUCCCCAGGUGGGCUUCCAAGCACACACAUGAAUGUUCCCAGUCUGUUAACUGCAAGAUUAAGAAACAGAUUUUGAAAACUGGUUGUUGAUUCCUUGGUAAACUUUCCUUCCUAUAGCCCAUUCCUAUCUCUGGUCAUAUCUUUGGUGCUUAAUGGGGAGGCCCUCCAUUGGUAAUUUCCUGGGAUUUUAGUCUGGCAGCAAUGAGGAAGAACAAGGGUGGCACAGAAAUCUUUUCU